CAAUAUUUGUGAUUAAAAAUAGAAAUAAGAAAUGUGCAAGUUAAUAAUUAUUAGUUUCGGGCGAAUCGUUUGGUUGUUUUAUUUUCGGCCUAAAUACAGUCGGUUGAAAUAUUUUCGGCUAAAUACGGCUUGGUUGUUUUAUAGCCCCCCAUUUUGCAUAACCAUUCGAGUGUUUUUUUUUUAGAGAAAAAAAUUGUUUACCAAUGUAUUAUUUGUAUUUAUUAUAUGUAUAUGUAUAGACUAUUAUCUAUUGGUAUA
Molecule: non-coding RNA, 258 nt
Organism: Cinara cedri
Lineage: Eukaryota; Metazoa; Arthropoda; Insecta; Hemiptera; Aphididae
Source: the annotation of a GenBank genome assembly